This 301-nucleotide ribosomal RNA is filed under the name uncultured bacterium. Its description in RNAcentral is "partial 16S ribosomal RNA". It matches the Rfam family "Bacterial small subunit ribosomal RNA", at positions 510 to 808 of the family's 1533-position model. The record is from RNAcentral.
CGUAGCCACGGUAAUACGAAGGGUGCAAGCGUUACUCGGAAUUACUGGGCGUAAAGCGUGCGUAGGUGGUGGUUUAAGUCCGUUGUGAAAGCCCUGGGCUCAACCUGGGAAUUGCAGUGGAUACUGGGUCACUAGAGUGUGGUAGAGGAUAGUGGAAUUUCCGGUGUAGCAGUGAAAUGCGUAGAGAUCGGAAGGAACAUCUGUGGCGAAGGCGACUAUCUGGGCCAACACUGACACUGAGGCACGAAAGCGUGGGGAGCAAACAGGAUUAGAUACCCGAGUAGUCCCUGUCUCUUAUACA